RNAcentral lists this ribosomal RNA (483 nucleotides) under uncultured bacterium. RNAcentral describes it as "partial 16S ribosomal RNA". It matches the Rfam family "Bacterial small subunit ribosomal RNA", at positions 28 to 507 of the family's 1533-position model. The record is from RNAcentral.
GACGAACGCUGGCGGCGUGCUUAACACAUGCAAGUCGAACGCUGAAGCUCAGCUUUUGUUGGGUGGAUGAGUGGCGAACGGGUGAGUAACACGUGAGUAACCUGCCCCCUUCUUUGGGAUAACGCCCGGAAACGGGUGCUAAUACUGGAUAUUCACUGGUCUUCGCAUGGGGGCUGGUGGAAAGGGUUUUUCUGGUGGGGGAUGGGCUCGCGGCCUAUCAGCUUGUUGGUGGGGUGAUGGCCUACCAAGGCUUUGACGGGUAGCCGGCCUGAGAGGGUGACCGGUCACAUUGGGACUGAGAUACGGCCCAGACUCCUACGGGAGGCAGCAGUGGGGAAUAUUGCACAAUGGGCGCAAGCCUGAUGCAGCGACGCCGCGUGAGGGAUGGAGGCCUUCGGGUUGUGAACCUCCUUCGCUCAUGGUCAAGCCGCAACAAUGGUUGUGGUGAGGGUAGUGGGUAAAGAAGCGCCGGCUAACUACGUG